RNAcentral lists this ribosomal RNA (1923 nucleotides) under Triticum aestivum (bread wheat). RNAcentral's name for it is "partial small subunit ribosomal RNA". The record is from RNAcentral. Lineage: Eukaryota; Viridiplantae; Streptophyta; Magnoliopsida; Poales; Poaceae.
AUGCCUCUCGAGCUUUUCCACUUGGUCACUCUGCUCCUUCUCCUCGUGGCUGCUGAUUGGGGUCUUGCGGCCACGGUCGGCAGCGACGAUGGUCGGCAGUUCGCCUACAAUGGCUUUGCCGGCACGAACCUCACUCUCGACGGUGUGGCCAAGGUCACGCCCAACGGCCUCCUCAUGCUGACCAACGGCACCAUCCAGCAGAAAGGGCACGCCUUCCACCCGUCUCCGGUCCGCUUCCGCGCCGCGCGCUCCUUCUCGACGACCUUCGUCUUCGCCAUCUUCGGGCAGUACAUCGACCUGAGCAGCCCUGGCAUGGCCUUCUUCAUCACCACGUCUAGGGAGGUGCUGUCCACGGCGCUCCCAGGCCAGUACAUGGGCCUCCUCAACGCCACGAACAACACCAACCGGGAAGCCCACAUCUUCGCCGUGGAGUUGGACACCCUCCACAACUCCGAGUGCCACGACUUAAACGGCAACCAUGUCGGCGUCGACCUGGAUAGCAUGGUGUCCCGAGAUUCCGCCGAUGCUGGUUACAACGACGAUGCCACGGGCCGGUUCCUCAACCUAAGCCUCAUCAGCCGGAAGGCAAUGCAGGUAUGGGUGGACUACUAUGCCUCUGCCACAGAGAUCACCGUGACCAUGGCUCCCCUUGGUGUAGCCAAGCCCAAGAAGCCCCUACUACGUACCACCGCGGACCUCUCGACCGUGGUGCAGGACAUGGCCUACGUCGGGUUCUCCUCGGCAACAGGAGUCCUUUUCACACGCCACUUCGUCGUUGGCUGGAGCUUCGCGCUGGACGGGCCAGCUCCGAUGUUGAAUAUCUCGUUGUUGCCUGCCUUGCCACCGAUUGGACCCAAGUCACGGUCCAAAGUGUUGCAGAUCGUGCUACCCAUAGCAUCGGCCACAACGGUUUUAGUAGUGGGCAUCAUUGUUUACAUUUUGGUUCGAAGGCGUCUCAGGUACGCGGAGGUCCACGAGGACUGGGAGAAAGCAUUUGGGCCGCACCGAUUCUCUUACAAGGACUUAUUUCAAGCGACCAAGGGGUUCAGCCAGAAGAACCUACUUGGGGCGGGAGGAUUUGGAAGCGUCUACAAGGGUGUGCUCCGCAAGUCUCAUAUGGAGGUCGCCGUGAAGAGGGUGUCACAUGAGUCAAGGCAAGGGAUGAAGGAGUUUAUCAUGGAGGUUGCAAGCAUGCGACGCCUGCGCCACCGCAAUCUGGUGCCGUUGCUCGGUUAUUGCCGACGGAAGGGAGAAUUUCUCUUGGUCUAUGAUUACAUGCCAAAUGGUAGCCUGGAUAAAUAUCUAUACGAUCGUAGCAAGGGUACACUGGAGUGGCCUCAAAGAUUCCACAUCAUCAGGGGAGUGGCUUCGGGAUUAUCAUACCUCCAUGAGGAUUGGGAGCAAAUUGUCAUCCACCGGGAUGUCAAAGCAAGUAACGUACUCUUGGAUGGCGAGAUGAAUGGGAGGUUAGGGGAUUUUGGCCUAGCUAGGCUUUAUGAUCAUGGGUCGGAUGCACAAACCACACAUGUAGUUGGUACUAUGGGUUACCUAGCUCCUGAACUAGGACACACCGGCAAGGCAACCCCAUCUACCGAUGUGUUUGCCUUCGGGGCAUUCCUUCUAGAGGUCGCAUGUGGGCGGAGGCCGGUUGAGCAAGAUGAGAGAAAUAACCAAGUAGUAGUGCUCAUGGAUUGGGUUGUCGACCAUUGGCAUAAGGGUUGCAUCACUAAGGCGGCAGACAUUAGGAUGCCAAAUAUGUUUAGUCUUGACCAGGUGUCUCUAGUGCUAAAACUCGGGCUUCUGUGCUCCCACCCACUACCAAAUUCAAGGCCAACCAUGCGACAAGUCUUGCAGUACCUCGAUGGCGAUGUGCUCCUCCCAGACUUGUCGGCAACAUAUCUAAGAUCAACCAAGCUGGAGUAG